Molecule: ribosomal RNA, 222 nt
Filed under: uncultured bacterium
Lineage: Bacteria
Description: partial 16S ribosomal RNA
Rfam family: Bacterial small subunit ribosomal RNA
Source: RNAcentral
UAAAGAACCUGCCUUAUAGACUGGGACAACUAUUGGAAACGAUAGCUAAUACCGGAUAACAGCAUUAACUGCAUGGUUGAUGUUUAAAAGUUGGUUAUGCUAACACUAUGAGAUGGCUUUGCGGUGCAUUAGCUAGUUGGUGGGGUAAAGGCCUACCAAGGCGACGAUGCAUAGCCGACCUGAGAGGGUGAUCGGCCACACUGGGACUGAGACACGGCCCAG